UACAGAGGGUGCAAGCGUUAAUCGGAAUUACUGGGCGUAAAGCGUGCGUAGGCGGUUUCGUAAGUCGGGUGUGAAAGCCCCGGGCUCAACCUGGGAAUUGCAUUCGAGACUGCGGAGCUAGAGUGCGGAAGAGGGAAGUGGAAUUUCCGGUGUAGCGGUGAAAUGCGUAGAUAUCGGAAGGAACACCAGUGGCGAAAGCGACUUCCUGGUCCAGCACUGACGCUCAGGCACGAAAGCGUGGGGAGCAAACAGG
RNAcentral lists this ribosomal RNA (253 nucleotides) under uncultured bacterium. RNAcentral's name for it is "partial 16S ribosomal RNA". It matches the Rfam family "Bacterial small subunit ribosomal RNA", at positions 524 to 776 of the family's 1533-position model. The record is from RNAcentral.